AUCAAUUAAAUAUAGCUACAUUUAUGAAGAAAGUAAAUAAUACAAUCUAAUAGGCUAUUAUUAACAGGACAGUCUGAAGGAACUUUUAGUUUUCCUCAAAAACUGCCGCUUUCAUAUCCCAUUAUGUCAUACAGUUAACUGACUGCCUUUUCCAGAUGGACCCAAUGUAGUAUUUACACAAACAAUGGUUUUCCGUAUUUUUUUACGACCAGUUAUGGUAUAUUUUACUCGUCAUUUAAAUGAAUGCCGUUAAAUGUGUGUGACGUUAGGCUAUUUAAAGUAACGUUGGCGCGAAUUCUCAAACGCACUCUCUCGCAGUCUCUCUCCCCCAGUCCACCGCAAGCAAGAGCACACACUCAAUUGAUACUGAAAUAAUGUAUUGGCGCAAUGGAUUUGGCAAACGCUCCAGUGUAUAUUAGUGCUUAUUUGUGUUCACUCUCUGGAGAAUGGCAAAUUAAUCUUACAACGCGUUUUGCUGCGGUGAGCAUCAAUGUAGCCAUUCACAGACGUUAACGUUAGUUGUCUGGUCUCUUGAACGCAAUGACCUAUCAAAGGUGUUCAAGUUAGUCAGAAUCUACUCACUGCUCAUAACGCCAUUUUAAUUCAGUUCCGAAUUAUGCAGGCUCGCGAAUCCCCUCAUCAACAAAGUCUAGACAAGAUGUAAGAGGUUUUUUUGACCGACAGCCAAUUGAAUGCUGCAAACUGUCUGGUUCACCGUGCGAUUCACUCUUCACGUGACAGAAAUAUGACAUGUUAAAAUAGUAACGUUUUUAAAGCAAUGUAAAGGCAGACCAAUAGAUUAACUGAAACAUAUUAAUUGCAAAAUAUUUUAGAUAUUCUAUGCUAAUUAUUGGUAAAACUGAUUUUCUUCUCCCUUUUUUCAGUGUUGAUUGUCAUCUGAUUGUGAGCUAACUACAGCCCAAAGGCUCUUUUAAGAGCCACAAGCACUGAGGAUCUUUGGCUUUCCAACCUUAACCAAGAUGUCGGUUGAGCAGGAAAUGACAUUGCCUACCACACCACAGGUGAUCAUGCUAGGGAGUAGUCUGCUGUUUGCAACCUACUGGAUGGUCAGCAUUGAGGGGAAGGUCUUCUAUGAAGCUAACCAACUUCAUAACUUUGCCAGUGCUUUCGCUGUCUUUUUCGGCUCCUUUUAUGUGUUCAAUCUGGAGUAUCAGGAGGCAGCAUCCACUACGCUGGAGAUGGUACAGAGAAAGGAAUUGAUGCCACCUGACACCAGUGAUCUGCUGUGAUUGGUGGAGUGGAAGUUUGGAACUGUUUCUGAAGUGUAUUUUUAUUGUGAUUUAAAAAAAAAAAAUUUUUAUUUGUUUUGUUUUGUUUUGUAACUUAGUUUUGUUUUAAUUAGAUUAUUUGUUUAAAAUAAAAUAUUUUGUUUGACAAAAAAGCACAAUAAAGAAUAUGCUGAUGUACAUGGACUCAAGUCACUUUUUUUGGAAUUUGUUAAAUUCAAUAGCAUUAAUGUAAAAUAUAAAUAUUAAAAUAUUUUUAAUAAAUUACAAUAAAAUGACUAAUAUACUGUAAAAUGAAAUUGCAGUAAGGGAAUCAUACUGUAAAAUUAAAUCACGGUAAGGGCAUUUUGCUGUAAAAUGUAAUCACAGUAAGGGCAUCUUACUGUAAAAUUAAAUUGCGGUAAGGGCAUCUUACCGUAAAACACAUUUACAGGUAAGCUACUGUAAAGGGGAACUUACAGUAACUUACUGGCAAUAGUGCUGCCAGUAAGUUACCGCAAAAAUACGAUAAAAAGUCUAAC
This is a long non-coding RNA of Carassius gibelio (silver crucian carp), 1768 nucleotides long. RefSeq lists it as uncharacterized. The transcript is spliced from 5 exons. NCBI's taxonomy places the organism in Eukaryota, Metazoa, Chordata, Actinopteri, Cypriniformes, Cyprinidae. The record is from RefSeq and is a predicted model, not a curated record.